AUGGUAAUUCCAGUACUUUUAGACCAUAAUUUUCAUAAUCAGAUCAAUAACAGCAAUUUUAAUAGAAAUCAUUCAUAUACAGCAACUCUAUCAAACUUGUUGCGCCAUGGCAUUACAUAUAUAUGUAUACAUAUAUCAUUUUGUACAAUACUUUUCCAUAUACACUUUGCAAACUUGUUGCCAUGGCAAAAAAAUUCCGACACAAGUCAAAUUGUUUUUGUUGACACGUAUGUACUAUACGGCAACCGUAUUGUUUUUAAUUUUUAUAAACACAUGUUCUUGGUGCUGUUUCUUGGCUUGUUUUAG
RNAcentral lists this ribosomal RNA (306 nucleotides) under Triticum aestivum (bread wheat). RNAcentral's name for it is "partial small subunit ribosomal RNA". Lineage: Eukaryota; Viridiplantae; Streptophyta; Magnoliopsida; Poales; Poaceae. The record is from RNAcentral.